This 57-nucleotide transfer RNA is filed under the name Bos taurus (domestic cattle). It matches the Rfam family "tRNA", at positions 8 to 63 of the family's 71-position model. From Rfam's summary of the family: Transfer RNA (tRNA) molecules are approximately 80 nucleotides in length. Their secondary structure includes four short double-helical elements and three loops (D, anti-codon, and T loops). Further hydrogen bonds mediate the characteristic L-shaped molecular structure. tRNAs have two regions of fundamental functional importance: the anti-codon, which is responsible for specific mRNA codon recognition, and the 3' end, to which the tRNAs corresponding amino acid is attached (by aminoacyl-tRNA synthetases). tRNAs cope with the degeneracy of the genetic code in two manners: having more than one tRNA (with a specific anti-codon) for a particular amino acid; and 'wobble' base-pairing, i.e. permitting non-standard base-pairing at the 3rd anti-codon position. The record is from Rfam by way of RNAcentral. Lineage: Eukaryota; Metazoa; Chordata; Mammalia; Artiodactyla; Bovidae. RNAcentral also lists the same sequence under 5 other names.
UGGCUCAGAUGGUAAAGAAUCUGCCUGCAACGCAGAAGACCCAGGUUCAAUCCCUGG